CCCUAGCCCCGAUGGAAGUGGAAAUCCUUUGGCUUUUUUCUUUAAAAAGACAAAGAUUACUUCACCUAGCUUUUAUUUUAGUCGGAGUUCAGUGAACUUCGUUUGUAGCGGACAGCGGGAAAUAGC
Non-coding RNA from Flavobacterium hercynium, 126 nucleotides. Lineage: Bacteria; Pseudomonadati; Bacteroidota; Flavobacteriia; Flavobacteriales; Flavobacteriaceae. The record is from Rfam.